This 22-nucleotide ribosomal RNA is filed under the name Fusarium proliferatum. Its description in RNAcentral is "partial 28S ribosomal RNA". Lineage: Eukaryota; Fungi; Ascomycota; Sordariomycetes; Hypocreales; Nectriaceae. The record is from RNAcentral.
AAUGUGACCUCGAUCAGGUAGA